AACGUAGGAGGCGAGCGUUAUCCGGAUUCACUGGGCGUAAAGCGCCGGUAGGUGGCUCGUUAAGUUGGUUGUGAAAGCCCCUGGCUCAACUGGGGAGGUCAGCCGAAACUGGCGGGCUUGAGGGUUCGAGAGGUCGGUGGAAUUCCCGGUGUAGCGGUGGAAUGCGUAGAGAUCGGGAGGAACACCAGUGGCGAAAGCGGCCGACUGGCGAAACCCUGACACUGAGAGGCGAAAGCGUGGGGAGC
This 245-nucleotide ribosomal RNA is filed under the name uncultured bacterium. RNAcentral's name for it is "partial 16S ribosomal RNA". It matches the Rfam family "Bacterial small subunit ribosomal RNA", at positions 524 to 769 of the family's 1533-position model. The record is from RNAcentral.